This 253-nucleotide ribosomal RNA is filed under the name uncultured bacterium. Its description in RNAcentral is "partial 16S ribosomal RNA". It matches the Rfam family "Bacterial small subunit ribosomal RNA", at positions 524 to 776 of the family's 1533-position model. The record is from RNAcentral.
UACGUAGGGUGCGAGCGUUGUCCGGAAUUAUUGGGCGUAAAGAGCUUGUAGGCGGUUUGUCGCGUCUGCUGUGAAAAUCCGGGGCUCAACCCCGGACUUGCAGUGGGUACGGGCAGACUAGAGUGUGGUAGGGGAGACUGGAAUUCCUGGUGUAGCGGUGAAAUGCGCAGAUAUCAGGAGGAACACCGAUGGCGAAGGCAGGUCUCUGGGCCGCUACCGACGCUGAGAAGCGAAAGCAUGGGGAGCGAACAGG